GAGAACAGGCAGAUGUAUAUGUAUAUGUUGUUGAUGUAGAGGUUGAUUUUAAGUCAGAGCAUACGAUAGUUGUUAAACACUUUUAAGGCUAGUGGUAAUUCAGUGGUCAGAGGACCCAGGUUCAGUUCUCAGCACCCACAUGGCAGCUUACAGUUGUCUGUAAUUCUAGUGGCUAAAUCUAAAGAACAGUAAACCAAUGUAACAUAGUUAAAAGCCAGGUGACAGCCAUGUGUCCUACUUGUUAGUGUAACUGUAAAGUCUCCUUGGGAAAUACUUUUAGACCUUCACAUGCCCAGUCACUUCACUCCGAGCAAACAAAGGAGUCACCAGGACAGCAGAAGGCAAUGCACUCUACACUGGAACCCCAGGCACCAGCUUUUCUUCCCGCCCUCCCCCUUGGUUGGUUCAUUGCUUCUCUCCAUCGCCCAGGUGUAGUUUGUUACUUUCAGAGUAUGCAGCAGCCACACUGGUACAGUGGUGCUCCCUGAACUCCACACUGGUGCAGUGGUGCUCCCUGAACUCCCUGGCUCCCUGGAGAUUCAGAAGUUACAUCAUAUCACAUUGUCUGUUUGUGUAUCUAACUGUGAAGAGACACCGAUAGCAUUUUGUUCUAAAAUGAGAUAUUGUUGAUCUGUUAGUGUCAACACUGGUUUUUAAAGUUUUAAUGCUGUACAGAGUUAAAUUCAUUUUUGAUGCAAUAUCAAUAUUUGCUUGCACUCUCUAAAUUUCUUACAGAAUAAAGUUAAGUCAGCCGGCAUUUGACUCAGAUUAUCUUUCCUUGAAUGCUUUCUCUUUUGUUUUUCUCUCCAAUUUUCUUUUAUUUGUAGAUAUCUAAGAGAAAUAUUAGUGUUGGUAUAUCUUUCUGUUUUUUUUUUAAGACACUAGUCUCACCGUGUAACCCCGGCUGGCUUCACUUGUUUUGUAGACCAGGUUGGCCUUGAACUCACAGAGAGAUAUAUAUGCCUGUCUCAGCCUCCCAAGUGCUUUUUAAGAAAUAAAUAGGGGGUUGGAGAGAUGGCUCAGCGGUUAAGAGCACUGACUGCUCUUCUAGA
RNAcentral lists this long non-coding RNA (1052 nucleotides) under Rattus norvegicus (Norway rat). Its description in RNAcentral is "long non-coding RNA NONRATT012774". Lineage: Eukaryota; Metazoa; Chordata; Mammalia; Rodentia; Muridae. The record is from RNAcentral.